CAGAACGAACGCUGGCGGCGCGUCUUAAGCAUGCAAGUCGAACGGCAAGAGGUAGCAAUACCUCCUAGAGUGGCGGACUGGUGAGUAACACGUGGGUGACAUACCCUUCAGGAUGGGGAUAGCUAUUAGAAAUAGUAGAUAAUACCGAAUACGAGCACAGGGGUUAGAGAUCUGUGAGGAAAGGAGCUAAGGCUCCGCUGAAGGAAUGGCCUGCGGCCCAUUAGCUAGUUGGUGAGGUAAGAGCCCACCAAGGCGAUGAUGGGUAUCCGGCCUUAGAGGGUGAACGGACACAUUGGGACUGAGAUACGGCCCAGACUCCUACGGGAGGCAGCAGCUAAGAAUAUUCCGCAAUGGACGAAAGUCUGACGGAGCGACGCCGCGUGGAUGAAGAAGGCCGGAAGGUUGUAAAAUCCUUUUGAAACUGAAGAAUAAGCGUUGUAGGGAAUGACAGCGUGGUGACAGUAGGUUUUGAAUAAGCAACGGCUAAUUACGUGCCAGCCGCAGC
RNAcentral lists this ribosomal RNA (505 nucleotides) under uncultured bacterium. RNAcentral's name for it is "bacterial SSU rRNA". It matches the Rfam family "Bacterial small subunit ribosomal RNA", at positions 25 to 518 of the family's 1533-position model. The record is from RNAcentral.